GUCUAUGGCCAUACCGCCCUGAUCGCACCGGAUCUUGUCUGCUCUUGGAAGAUAAGCAGGGUUGUGCCUGGUUAGCACGUGGGUGGGAGACAGAUCUCGACCUUUCUCAGUGAUGGGAAGGAGCCAGGAAA
This 131-nucleotide ribosomal RNA is filed under the name Mesocricetus auratus (golden hamster). The record is from RNAcentral. Lineage: Eukaryota; Metazoa; Chordata; Mammalia; Rodentia; Cricetidae.